GGGAGAGAUUUGAAAAUCGGGGAGCUGGUGUGGGGGAAGAUCCGGGGCUUUGCCUGGUGGCCGGCCAUCAUUGUCACCUGGAAGGCCACAUCCAACCGCCCUGCAGCUCCUGGGAUGCGAUGGGUCAAAUGGUUUGGUGAUGGAAAGUUUUCAGAGGUCUCCGCUGACAAACUGGUGGGAUUGGUGGCCUUCCAGGACCAUUUCAACUCUUCCACUUUUCAGAAGUUGGUGUCCUACCGACAAGCCAUUCUCCAUGUUUUGGAGAUUGCAAGCAGCCGAGCUGGCAAGACUUUCUUCUAGUUCCCCGGGGGAUUCUCUGGAAGAAAAGCUGAAG
This is a long non-coding RNA of Sceloporus undulatus (fence lizard), 334 nucleotides long. RefSeq lists it as uncharacterized. The transcript has 3 exons. NCBI's taxonomy places the organism in Eukaryota, Metazoa, Chordata, Lepidosauria, Squamata, Phrynosomatidae. The record is from RefSeq and is a predicted model, not a curated record.